AAAACAUCUUUUCUUGAAAAUUAUAUGAAAUAUAACCUGCCCAAUGAUGAUUAAAUGGCCGCGGUAUUUUGACCGUGCAAAGGUAGCAUAAUCAUUAGUUUAUUAAUUGUGGACUUGUAUGAAUGGUUAAAUGAAAUAUUAACUGUCUCUAUUUAAUUUUUAAAAUUUAAUUUUUUAGUUAAAAAGCUAAAAUGAAUUUAUAGGACGAGAAGACCCUAUAGAUCUUUAUUAUAUGAAUGAUUUAAUUUUUUAGAUUUUUAUUUUUAUUUUAUUUUUAUAUUUUUGUUGGGGUGACAAUUAGAUAUAAUUAACUCUUAUCUAUUUUUGCAAUUAUUUUUGUUAUUAUAAUUUUUCAAUGUUUUUUAAAGAAUUAGAUACCUUAGGGAUAACAGCGUAAUUUAAUUUGAUAGUUCAUAUUGACAAUUAAGAUUGCGACCUCGAUGUUGGAUUAAGAAAAUUUUUUGAUGCAGAAGUUAAAAUUUUAGGUCUGUUCGACCUUUAAAUUCUUACA
This 511-nucleotide ribosomal RNA is filed under the name Dajaca napolovi. Its description in RNAcentral is "partial 16S ribosomal RNA". It matches the Rfam family "Bacterial large subunit ribosomal RNA", at positions 1810 to 2600 of the family's 2925-position model. The record is from RNAcentral. Lineage: Eukaryota; Metazoa; Arthropoda; Insecta; Phasmatodea; Aschiphasmatidae.